UAGAGAAGUGAAUACGUAAAUGAUUAGGGAAUGUUUCAUACCUAUCGAAAAUAUGAAUCAGAUAACUCUCCAUUCUGAAAAAAUAUGUUCUCAUGUAAACGUUAUACGAUCUCAAGAAUAUGUUGAAAAAAUUUAACAACCUCAAAAACGGUAAAAUCAAAGCCCAUUUUCAAUCAAAAAUUUCCACCGAGUCAUGACAAUAUUAGAAGAUUAAAAAGAAAUGUUCCAGAAUAUCCAUUUUCUAUUUAUAUUUCUCACCGGAGUAGCAUCAUUCCCGAAGUCACGGGUCACUUGCCCAAACCCAUAUUUCGAAGAGGGUUGGAAAAAAUAUGGCGAUUGUAUGGAUGAUUGCUUUGACAAGUGCAUAUACAAAGGAGAAAUAGGUUUUUAUUGUACACAUGAAGUAGAUAAGAAAUUUCAUUGUUUUUGCGGUACAAUAGGAGAAACAGUGACUUAUUUUGAAUUCCAGACAGAGAAGCUGACAAAAAGCGUCUUGUUCAGGAAUUGAUUUUCUAACAGGGAAGAUCGCUAUAGUGUUUUAAUUAUUACGAGGCACGAGUAUGGAGUAUUUUUUGAUCAAGCUUAGAUAUGUAUUGGUCUUAAUGGGCCAUUGAAAAUAAAGAAGUUCGAGAAGAGUUGCGAAGAGAUCACCUGAUACGUGGUAUGUUGGAUAAAAAAAAGAGGUGUCCCUAAAAAGGCUACUCUUCAUUUUGAGCAGAUUUUUGAGCUACGUACCGUAGAUUUUUAUAAAUACAAAUGUAACUUCAAAUCCUUCACUUUACAUUGACCUAGUUGAUUUCCCCCUUCCCCAAUUAAUUGAAAAAUAUUAAACGAAAAUGAUCUCAUUCGGAAUACUUAGCUAUCCAGCUUUACGAAGACUGCUUUACAUUUUAAAAGAAGAUAAUGUAUUAUUUUGAAGAAAGGUUAUCUAAUAAUAUUUUUUCAUAAAAUUUACUUUACCAAAAUCUCUUUUUGAGACCUGAAAGACUCUGAACACGCUUAUUUGGCACCUUUAAAGUGUUUUGAUACUUCUAAACAAUGUGUUUUUUUUUGGAAUAAUUUCUUAUAUUUCACUGUUUGUUUACAGUGGCUUCAUUAGGAACCUACGUACAAUAUUCAUUUUUAAUAUGGAUGUCCAAAUUUUCAUGAAUUAUACAUACUUUUAGUAUUUUCUAGCAUCCUUGAAAAUUUGAAAAAAUUCAAUUGAAAACUGCCAAAGAUGAAAUUUUUAAGCAGAAAAGUCAAUUUCAUUCUUUUGGAGGGGGUAGGGAGUAAUCUAUUGAUCUGAAAUUCUGGUCGCGGAGGUAAAUUGAAUUAUUAUUGAAAUCAAUUUAGCUGUAAAACCUCUUACCUACUGUUGUUGAAAAGUACAUUAUAACCAUUAGGUAUACCUAAGCAAUAAACUCUUCUUAUUCUUUUUCAAAUAACGUGGAUUUAAAAAAUUUUGAGAUACAAACCACAUCUAAGGUGAAAGUAUAAACUCUGGUUGGAAAAUGCCCCAUAAAAAAUGUGAAAUCGCUAGAUCGAAGAUCAUUCAAUUUACUUCAACGUUAGUUACUUUUGGACAAAUCAAUGUUUUAUAUGUAAAACGCUAAUCUGUUUAUUCAAUUUUCACUCUCAUCGUAAUAGCUAAUAUUGAAAACUUCUCAAGUAGGUAGGUACCUAGAUUCGAAAUUUUUGACCUACAACCAAUCUGAUUAAGCGUAUGUACAUAUUUCACGUAAUUUCAGAUAAAGAAGAGAAUUAUCGAGGUAGGUAAUUAAGGAAUGUUUCAUAUCGAAAAUACGUAUAAAGCAGAUAACUCUCGAUUUUAAAAUGAUGAUACAUGUUUAUAAGAAAGUGUUGAAAGUUGAAAUACUUCAAAACGAUGAAAUCGCAGCCUUUUUUUCAGAAUAAUCGUCACCAAACCAUGCUGAUAGUAAAAAAUUAAGCAAUCAAUUGUUGGAAAUGUUUCAGAAUAUUUAUUUACUAUUCAUAAUAUUCGUUGUUGGAGUGACGUCAUUAAAAGAGCCACCAAUGCCACCACACAAUCCAUCUUCAUACCGCUCAAAGGGUUGGAAAAAAAUAGACAAAUGUUUAGAAGAGUGCUUUUCCGAGUGCAUUUCCCCAUGGGAAUUGAAUUAUUACUGUUCAAAAGAAAAGGAUAAGAAAUUUCAUUGUUUUUGUGGUAUAAAUCCAAUCGGACCUACAGUGACUUUCGCAGUAGAGGGGACGACAUAAAGUGUUUAAUUCGAGAACUUGUUUUUCAGCAAUGAAAUCAAUGGCGUUUGAAUUGUGUAUACUCAUUGAGUAUUUUUUGAUCUACAUAAAAGGGCAAUUAAAAUAAAAAAGUUCGAGAAGAGUUUUCAAGAAAACAGACCAAAGUAUCCCUUAAAGUUGGCCAUAUUUAUGCUGGGUGAAAAUUACUAAUGACUAGCAUAAGGAUUGAUUAACUCUGAUUUUUAGUAGUUGGUUUUUAUAUUAAAAAAAUUGUCUAAUUUCAGUAUAAAGCACCUUCUUAUAAAAAAAUAAAUUUUUUACGUUUUUA
Planococcus citri (citrus mealybug) is the source of this 2527-nucleotide long non-coding RNA. RefSeq lists it as uncharacterized. Lineage: Eukaryota; Metazoa; Arthropoda; Insecta; Hemiptera; Pseudococcidae. The transcript has 3 exons. The record is from RefSeq and is a predicted model, not a curated record.